UGGGAUGUCUUUGAUGCUUUUUGUGUGGC
This 29-nucleotide non-coding RNA is filed under the name Mus musculus (house mouse). The record is from RNAcentral. Lineage: Eukaryota; Metazoa; Chordata; Mammalia; Rodentia; Muridae.